UACGGAGGGUGCAAGCGUUAUCCGGAUUCACUGGGUUUAAAGGGUGCGUAGGUGGGAAUGUAAGUCAGUGGUGAAAUCUCCGUGCUUAACAUGGAAACUGCCAUUGAUACUAUGUUUCUUGAAUCUUCCGGAGGUCAGCGGAAUAUGUCAUGUAGCGGUGAAAUGCUUAGAUAUGACAUAGAACACCAAUUGCGAAGGCAGCUGACUACAGGAGCAUGACACUGAGGCACGAAAGCGUGGGGAUCAAACAGG
RNAcentral lists this ribosomal RNA (252 nucleotides) under uncultured bacterium. RNAcentral describes it as "partial 16S ribosomal RNA". It matches the Rfam family "Bacterial small subunit ribosomal RNA", at positions 524 to 776 of the family's 1533-position model. The record is from RNAcentral.